Molecule: ribosomal RNA, 253 nt
Filed under: uncultured bacterium
Lineage: Bacteria
Description: partial 16S ribosomal RNA
Rfam family: Bacterial small subunit ribosomal RNA
Source: RNAcentral
UACAGAGGUCCCAAGCGUUACUGAGAAUCACCGGGUUUAAAGGGUGCGUAGGUGGUCCGUUAAGUCAGUUGUGAAAUCCCCGGGCUCAACCCGGGAACUGCUUCUGAUACUGGCGGACUUGAGGCCAGUAGAGGUCACUGGAACUGACGGUGGAGCGGUGAAAUGCGUAGAUAUCGUCAGGAACGCCAGUGGUGAAGACGGGUGACUGGGCUGGUUCUGACACUGAGGCACGAAAGCGUGGGGAGCGAACGGG